Molecule: ribosomal RNA, 425 nt
Filed under: uncultured bacterium
Lineage: Bacteria
Description: partial 16S ribosomal RNA
Rfam family: Bacterial small subunit ribosomal RNA
Source: RNAcentral
GUGGGGAAUCUUAGACAAUGGGCGCAAGCCUGAUCUAGCCAUGCCGCGUGAGCGAUGAAGGCCUUAGGGUUGUAAAGCUCUUUCACCGAUGAAGAUAAUGACGGUAGUCGGAGAAGAAGCCCCGGCUAGCUUCGUGCCAGCAGCCGCGGUAAUACGAAGGGGGCUAGCGUUGUUCGGAUUUACUGGGCGUAAAGCGCACGUAGGCGGUUUGUUAAGUCAGGGGUGAAAUCCCGGAGCUCAACUCCGGAACUGCCUUUGAUACUGGCAAGCUAGAGUCCGGAAGAGGUAAGUGGAACUCCUAGUGUAGAGGUGGAAUUCGUAGAUAUUAGGAAGAACACCAGUGGCGAAGGCGGCUUACUGGUCCGGAACUGACGCUGAGGUGCGAAAGCGUGGGGAGCAAACAGGAUUAGAAACCCGAGUAGUCC